This 958-nucleotide long non-coding RNA is filed under the name Crocodylus porosus (Australian saltwater crocodile). Its description in RNAcentral is "lncRNA (ENSCPRG00005005819.1)". Lineage: Eukaryota; Metazoa; Chordata; Crocodylia; Crocodylidae. The record is from RNAcentral.
UCAUUGUUUCCCUCUCCCUAAUCCCUCUUCCAGGAAGACGUGGCAGUAGUUCUAACUCUCAAGCACCCAUUCCCCCCCCCCUCAGUUCUGCCUUCUGGUUCCCAAAGCAGGGUGGGGGGAAGUGGCACAGAUCAGCCUUUUCAAGGAGCCAGCAUGAGGCAGGGAAAGGCUAGCUUCUGCUCAUGUUUUAUCAUGGGCACUCUCCUAGGCUCCUUCUUGCCAAGACAGGCUGGACUCGCAUGGCAGUGGUGGCAUUUUAGAUGGAGAGAAUCAGAAAGGUUCCCCAGAAGGUGGACAGUGGAAAAGGGACAGACCCCACAAGGAGAGACCAAUCCAAUGAGAUGCGGGAGCCACCAAUAAUAAACUGAAGGCCCCUUGAAUUUAUAUAUAUAUAUAUAAAAAUAUAAAUAUAUAUAUAAAUAUCUAUUCCCCAGUCCUGGCCCGCUCUGUCCUUGCUGUAACUGUUUCUAUCUCUGUGUUUAUAAAAAUGUGUUAUCCUGGAAAAAAAAAAUUCAAUCUUUAUUCUUCCCUCUUUCUCUCUUUGUCUCCAGCUUCCCCCUCCCCCCUGACCAUCCCCUUCCCCUUCUUGUUUUGGUUUUGGUUUUCGUUUUGGUCCACGUGAUUUAUGGUUUUUCAUGUCAUUUGUUCAUUUAUCUGGCUUUCAUUUGGAUUGCUAGAUCAUGGAGGCUGGUUCAGAAGAAAGAAACAAAGGCAAAGAAAAAUUGUUCGAUGUUGGGAUUUAAAACAAAACUCCAGGAUUCCAAACUUCUACACAGAAAAAGAAACACAAGCCCUGAGAAUUUCUCUUCUCCAAUUUCACAGCCCUAUACAGUUUUUGAUUAUUCAUCACUGGUCCUUUCCUCACACCUGAUGAAGAAUGCUGUGCAUUCAAAAGCUUGUUGAACUUUAUCCUAUGCAGUUGGUCCAAUAAAAGAUAUCACUUACCAAAAUCCUUGCA